UUAAAUUGAAGAGUUUGAUCAUGGCUCAGAUUGAACGCUGGCGGCAGGCCUAACACAUGCAAGUCGAACGGUAACAGGAAUCAGCUUGCUGAUUCGCUGACGAGUGGCGGACGGGUGAGUAAUGUCUGGGAAACUGCCUGAUGGAGGGGGAUAACUAC
RNAcentral lists this ribosomal RNA (158 nucleotides) under Escherichia coli. RNAcentral's name for it is "partial 16S ribosomal RNA". It matches the Rfam family "Bacterial small subunit ribosomal RNA", at positions 1 to 150 of the family's 1533-position model. The record is from RNAcentral. Lineage: Bacteria; Pseudomonadati; Pseudomonadota; Gammaproteobacteria; Enterobacterales; Enterobacteriaceae.